This 67-nucleotide transfer RNA is filed under the name Charybdis bimaculata. Its description in RNAcentral is "tRNA-Tyr". It matches the Rfam family "tRNA". Rfam says of the family: Transfer RNA (tRNA) molecules are approximately 80 nucleotides in length. Lineage: Eukaryota; Metazoa; Arthropoda; Malacostraca; Decapoda; Portunidae. The record is from RNAcentral.
AAUAAGGUGGCUGAGGAUUAGGCGUUAGAUUGUAAAUCUAAGUAGAAGUUUAAAAACUUUCUUAUUA